Molecule: RNA transcript, 6912 nt
Organism: Aquila chrysaetos chrysaetos
Lineage: Eukaryota; Metazoa; Chordata; Aves; Accipitriformes; Accipitridae
Gene: MRAP2
Gene name: melanocortin 2 receptor accessory protein 2
Exons: 5
Source: RefSeq, a predicted model, not a curated record
UGCUCCUGAAGGAAAUGAGCCAGGGUGAGGAAAGGCUAUCUGCAUCCAUACACAUCAAAGUCAGCAGAGGGGCUUUCAUGUUUGCCUUAAACUCCUGUGCUCCCCCAAAAAGCCCUCAGCAAGGUCAAUGAGAAGAGCUUCCUGUCAUGCCUCAGAGCAUGUGGGAUGAAUCACUGCUGUCCAUUCCUGGCAGAAAGAGCACUUGAGUGUGUCUCCUGGGGGAAUUCCUUCCCUGAACCCCUUAUCUGGAACCCGCAGUCCUUCCAUGACCUGCUGCAGCCUGGCAAAUGCACCUGACAGGCUGCUAACAUGCCAGCUUGCCCUGCUUUGCUUUGCUUUGCUCUUCCUCAGGAUAUGCAAGGUCUUAAUAUUCAGUGCUUUUGCUGUGCUGGUCCUUGUUCACCAUGCUAGGCUGGCUUUUUAAGUAGAAUAAAAUACUUGUUUUAGCAUGUUUCAGGCUGAGGUUUUGGAGACAUUUGGACAGACAGAGCUUACAAGUGAGCUGUAAGCUAGUUUGAGACAAUGCUUAUGCUUAGCUGUACUGGAUGAUUUAGAGGCUUAUUUUAUGUCCCACAAAGCCUGAUGCACAGGCUAGGCUGGGAGCUGGUGACCCAGGUUUCAGUUAGCACCUCUCCCUCUGACAGUGGCUUGUCUACAGUGAAAGUAAGUCUAGAAAUCCUUGUAGUCAGUGGUGAAACACUGGAGCUUCUAGUCCUAACCUAAGACUAAACCAGGACAGAUUCUUUGUAUCCUAGAAGUGGCUCUUCUCCCCGUAAAUCAUAAAUGUACAUUAGUGACUAGAUUGGGAGAGAGAUCAGCAGGUGGCCCAAUUAAUCCCAUCUGCCUGCACUUGAGGUGGAAGAGGAAACACUUUUCGGACUGUUCGUAUACCCUAUUCUGAUGUUUUCUGCCUGCGAAUUCCCGUUCAGCUCUUUAUAUAAUACUAAAAGUGAGGAGGUGAUGAUGAACAUUGGUGAUGCCAUAUGAGAAAUAUUUAAAUGAAAGACUUCUCUGGAAGGCUAUAGGAGAGAAAAGCAGCCCUUAAACAGGAAUGUGCUAAUAAAAUUUGUCAAGAGACAGACACGUCAUCAACCAAACAUUAAGGAGGUGGGGAAAAAAGAUAGUGGGAACCCUGUGCAGCACCAUGUAGUCUCUUAGGGCCCAGUCACAAAAUGAAACACAAAAUCUUGUAAGAGACAACUGACAGAGCUGAGAUGGGAGCAAACUAGGACAGGAAUCUUAGGUUUUUCUAUGUGCUGUUUGCUUUUCACAGAGGCAGCAGUUGCUUUAGUUGAUUAAAAAAAAAAAAAAAAAGAACUCUGUCUAAAGCUUAAUUACACAUUAUCUCUGAUUCCAGGAAAUAAGAAGGUUUUCUAGUUAUUGGGAAGGCAAAGGAGGAACUUUACUGUUAACACAGGCACUUAAAGUUAGACUUACUUCUUUCUGUCAUGUCCUUAAAGGGUUGGAAGUAGAGGAUGGGAAACACCCUCAGCCAUGAACUGGGUUGUCCAUUACAGCCGUCUCUUUUAUUUUUCCUCUGUGCUUCAGGCUGUUUAUUCUCACUGGGAGCUUUCUGAGUGGCCAAAGGAGGAUGAGGGUAAUGUGAAGCUCCUUAUCUUACCCAAGAAUGGGGUUGGUUGCUUCUUCCUGUCCUGUUGGCAAGUUGCUCAUUGUGAAAACUAAGCUGGUUUGAGUUGAAAAAUAGAUCCAUUUCUUGUUUUAAAGGAUUCAUCGCUUGUCAGUCAAGUUUUGGUAUGUGUUUAAGAUUCUGAAAACUGUAACUGGGUAUGAAGGUUACUUUUUCAGGCAUACUUCACUAUUUAUUUAAAGUUGUUUUGAGGCAUUCCUGCCAGCAUUUGCUGAUGGUGAAAUAGUUGCAGAAAGAACUUUUUUACAAAUUUGAAAUGCUGUUCAUAUUUCUUGGGUGAAUUUGUGUUCCUCAUUUUGUGCCUGAUUCUCGCUCUUUAUGCAUGUCCCUCCUAGCACUUGAACAAUGUACUUUACUUGCACAGCCUUAAUCAAUCUAAUUAUCCUUAGGAAGGACUGAAGUUUCAGUUAUUUUGAGUGACAUGGCUAUUUAGGGGCCCUUCUUUUCAAGAAAGUUUAUCUGGAUUUGACUUUGUGCUCUGAGAAGUUUCAUUGUCCACAGAACAACUGAUAACAAUAGUUUUAGGAACUGCAUGAAGUCUUCACCCUGCUGAGUUUUAAUUGAAUGCAAAAUUACCCAAAGCUCAAUUUGCUCUUACAAAAAGUAUUUUGUAAUAUGUUUCAAGUGGGAUGUCCUGACUCCAGUUGCUGCAGCAGAUGUUUUGUGCAGAGAUGUGUUCUCUUUUAGUGUGCAUAAAACUGUCUAAUAUUCUGAAAAAAUUACUCUGCAAAAUGGAAAUCCCUAGUGCGGUGUUAUGGUAAUGACAGAAAUAUCUAUCGAGACAAUUUAAUGAUGCUUCAUGUUGCAUUGCAGUUUUUGUUAAUCUGUGGGGAAAAUCACUCCUGUUUUAUUUUUCUUCCUUAGUGGCGUAUUGAAACUGUUCAUUAGCACAGAGAAAUUUAGGUUGGAAGGGACCUCUGGUGGUCAUCUGGUCCAACCUCCUGCUCAAACCAUGUUCAACUAGAUCAGGUGUAUAUUUACUGAGGUGCGAGAUGUCUGCCCUGAGGCUGAUUUCUAACAGAACCUCCCAGCAGGCCUCGUCUAACUCUGAUUACACCUGGGAGUACGAGUACUAUGAGUACGGACCAGUGUCAUUUGAAGGCCUGAAGGCUCAUAAAUAUUCCAUUGUGAUUGGAUUUUGGGUUGGUCUUGCGGUUUUUGUCAUCUUCAUGUUUUUUGUCCUGACCCUGCUGACGAAGACAGGAGCACCACACCAAGACAAUGCAGAACCUUCUGAAAAAAGAUUUCGCAUGAAUAGCUUUGUAGCAGAUUUUGGAAGACCUCUGGAGUCGGAGAGGGUCUUUUCUCGUCAAAUAGCUGAAGAAUCCCAGUCACUUUUCCAUUUCUGUAUUAAUGAAGUGGAGCAUUUGGACAAAGCAAAACAAAGUCAGAAAGGUCCAGGUCUGGAAAAUAACGUCCACUUCCAGGAAGUUCCCAGGAACAGUGGAAUGUUUGAGGAGGACGUAAAUUGUCUUACAAAAUUUAACAUUCCUAACUUUGUGAACACUGAGCAGAACUCUUCACUAGGUGAGGAUGAUCUCCUCAUCUCAGAGCCACCAAUCAUUUUAGAAAGCAAAUCAGUCAUGCAAUCUUCCCAUCGGAUCCUUGACUGAAAAGUCUUUUACUUUAAGGUAAACAUUACUGUUAUUGUCCAGUUUGAAGCCUGUCUUGGCCUUCUAGUAUUUUGAUAGAAGGUAUUUCAGGUCUGUGCUUUUUAUUGUAUGUAAGACUGGCUGGGCUGACAGAAUUCAGUUUAAACAAGAAGUAAAACACUAAAUGCUUUAUUCUGAUGCCUUCUGUGGUCUAAACUUUUUGCCCAGCAUUAUUUUUGCUUCCUGAUUUUUUUUUCUUGUUUUCUUCUGUUUUUAAAUGACUGCUUAUGUCCAGCUUCUGAAGGAUACCAUAUUAAUUUGUGGGGACUAUGAAGGCUGGAGCCUGGCAUUGGGAGGUGUAUGAAAACUCCUUGGCCAAGAAAAGUGUAAACCUUAAAUUAAGACUGAAGCAAGGAAUAAACAGGCAGCCCCUUGGGAGGUUCUGCAGCUUUUGCCACUCCCAAAAAGGACACCUGAAUCUAAGCAGCACAAUGGAUAUCUGCUUGGUGUUAACUUCAGUUUCUGAUUUCUAACUGCUUUUUGGUGCAGGUGAAAUCCAACUUACAAAGCUUCCAGAGGGAAUACCUUGCAUAACUGUUUGGUUACAGUGUUUACAAAAUGCUACCACCACCUGCUGCUGAGUAAAAGCAAAUUGGUGCCUGUAAUUGUAGUACUUCAGAGUGACAUUCUGACAGCUGCCCAGUGGUGACCAUGACCUGGAAUUAGCGUUCUACACACAAACAGUAAUUUGACUUUAAUUGCUGAUGCAAACUUCCAGUUUGGUAAGUGCAGGAUUCAGUAGGUAAAUCACAGGAAAUCAGAUAAAAACUAUUCUUUGUUUGUCAAUAGAGUUACUAUAUGCAAACGGUGGUUGUCUGUUAAGCUGGUGUUAUGCUUUGCUUAUAGGCUGAACCUCCUGUGCUUUUUGGCUCUAUAAACAGCCCUUUCUUGCCAGUAGGCCAUGGAAGGGGUAGCAGGCUUUCCGUUGUUCAGAGGACCAGCUCCAAAAGCACAGCUGAGGUGCACUUGCUCCGUCUUCUUUUUGUACGCAGUUGGGAUGGUGUUGCAACCACAGCUGUUCUCCCAGGGAAAGGUUUGUUAAGGAAUUGAAUAGAUGUAAUUUCAACCUUUAAGUUUAUUUUUUAGAGAAGGAAUAAGGUUCUGGAACUUAGCCAGUACUUAAAUCAUGUUUCAGCUUUCUUCAAAAGAUUGUAACUAAUGGCCAAAUGGUUUUAGAUGCAGAGGAACCAGGUUCAAAUCCUCUGCUGGAUUUGGAGUAAGAGUGCUUUGCAGGAAGUUCUUAACUGAAAUGAAACUAGGGGAUUCAAGAUACUGUGCCUAACUGAGUUUUCUUGAAACUAGCCUGCUAGCUAUACAACAUGUUUGUGUCAGAGUGAAAAUGUAGCAAGGGCUUGCUGAUACAUUCUUCAGACACUUAAAUGCUGAUUAAUUCAUUCUUCCUUCACCUGACAAAUAGAGAAAUUAGUGAAUGUGUUGUGCAUUUAAAGAAUACAAAGACUGAGGGAAAUCUCUUUUGUUUUUAUCUCCUGUGACCUUACUAUAAACCACUUAUACCUAAAUUUCCUGUUUUCAAAUUUAAUUCUUGCACUACUUCCUAGUGUUUAAAGUAAUGGGAUUAUACUUAAAGCAAAGCAGAGACUGUUUAAAACUAGCAGAUUAUUGUUGAAAAUAGUUCCCAAGAGAAGAUUGAGGUGAACCCUGUUCAUGAGCAUAGCUGCAUGGGUUGCAAUGUUGGUCUUCAGUAUGCUGCUUCAGGUGCAGAAAAAAAGGCCUCCUUUUACAGUAAGUACUUAACCACAACUAUGAAGGCUGUAGCUGUGGACUUCCCUUUUCCCUUCCCAAAUUAAGAAAUCUGGGAAAUCUGCCUUCUGAAUGUGGCAACUGCUUCCUGCUAAGGCACCUCAAACAACUGUUAGCUAUCUGAUGGUUGAGCUUUUUCUGAACUGAAGGUCAGUAUUUUUCUUGCUAACAAGCUCUGGGACUUCUACUAAAGGUAGCUUUUAUAGCCUACUUCUGGAUGAGUUAGCUGCCUUCAGUGAUGUUUGAUCUAUUCUUUUUUUAUUUUUUUCCUUUGCCAUGCAUGAAAACAGAACAUGCUACUUAAAUGAGGAGAAAAUCUCUGUAGAAUCCAUCCCCCCUGCAAUUGAGAAAUAAAGCUUAUUUUUAAAGCAUUUGAAACUUAGUUUUAAAAUAAUGUAGGUCUGGUUUUAUAAAAAGAAAGGCUUGCUAUUCCCAGUGGGCUAACCUAAGCUUUUUCUUCUGCUACCUUGAAUCUUUGUGGCUUUUGUUUCGGUGCGUAACUGCUAAUUUGGGGAAAAAGGAGAAGUAUCCAUGUGUAUGGAUGCUGGUGACAACGCCUAGAUGAAAGGUAUUUAAUAACAUGAUCAAAGGAUAACUUAACUUAUAACACACUUGAAUUGUAAUCUUAGUGUCCUUCUGAAGCAUGUAUUAAUCCUGUAAAGGUAUUUCAGUGUUUUUGGUUCCUGCUUUUGUUCUUCCCUGAUGGUUCUGCUUUUUUCAUCUUAUCUCCCUUCUAUCUUUAAAUAAGUCCUUCAUGCUGUUUUUUACAGAAAAAUAAUCUGGCAGUCCCCACUGCACAGCUCCCACAUGACUUCAGAAGCACUGUAGCAGCAAUACAGUCUGAUUCAGACUUUUGCUCUGCCUCUCCUUUAGAGCAGAGGCAAAGGCAAAGGCAGAAUCUUUCUGCAGUCUUCAAAAGCAGUUAUGUUAAAGGUGUUCAUUCAUUCUUUUUCCUUUUUAAGAACAAAUAGACACGAUGUUCUGCCUUCAGGGAAAGGGGAUUGGUGUAAUAACCAACUUUGUAUAACAUUUAAAAAGUUCAUCUCUUCCCAGAAAACCAACAUGAAUUGGUUUACUAUGAAUUGAAUAGAAAGUGCUUUGACCAGGGUAAUCCUUCAAAAGGAGUACUCAGAAUUUAAUGGUGUUUGAAAAUCAAAUUAUUGCAAGUUUUCUUACUGCUUGGGCUGUCUGUUUCAGGGCCUUUUCUCAAAACUCACUCUAAAUGCAUCACCUGUGGUAGAUUUAACCUCAUGUAGAGUUCCCCUAAGAUAAUUACGUAUGUUUGUUUGCAUAAACAUGUAUUGUAUUCUGUAAGAACUUACUAGGUCAAGUUAUGUAUUCUGGUUUUCAAGGGUGAAUAUUUGUGAAAUUUUCUUCUGUGUAAACAAGUUUCAGUUGUGUACCUUUUUAAAAAAAAAAAAAAUCCCUGCUCAUAAAGAAAAGAAAGGGAAAGGUAAAACCAUGAACUUUUCUAAAAUCCAGUGAUACAUGGUCUCUGAGGCUAAAAGGUGAAGUAAAUGAUGUGUAUUUGUCAUGCAAUUUAGUAUUUUUGCACCUGAGCUGUAGCUCUUGAAUACUUGUUACUGACUUUUUUUGCCACUCUAAUUCAAAUUACAGCAAAGCAGCUGGAAUAUAAUAAACAAAUGAAUUCCAGCUAAACAUAAGUCAAUGACUCAAAGAAAUGAUGUUUAAGAUUCUUUUAAUCCAUCCAUUAUAACGCCUCCUGGAAAUGCAUAAUUAAAUAGUAUGGCAUAAGAAGAGGAAAAACAUACACCAGGAGUAUAUAAUUCUAUGACUCUGGAAGAUACCACUGAAAUCCUCAGUGGAAUACAAUAAAAGCUAAUGACCUCU